CAUGGGUCUGCAGAAUAAGACUAAUUAAAACAGUUGAGAACAUGCAGUGCCAGUGCAGCUGUGCAGUGAUGAUGAUGAUGAUCUUGCACCAUAUACCAGCUCUGUGCUAGUGAUCCCGAAGAUCAUAUGACGAUUUGGAGACAGAAAAAGUACGACAAUUAAGUAAGUUAACGCGGAUGACUUCCUGAUGCAGGCCUAUUCAGUUAAAUGAUGCACUAUGGACGUAUCAUGUCUUGCUCUAACACGUUUGAACCUACCAUAAGAAGUGCUUAGUUGGAGUUUAAGGAGUUUUGUGCUGAUCAGCAGAGGGUUUACUACCGCUAGCUUGUUUAUAGAUCAUCACCCCAUUGUGCGGGGAAUCUAUGGAAUCUAUGGAAUCAUCGGACGGGAGACGAGAGCAGAGAGUUGCGGUUGUUCUUCCAUUCUCACUUGACCUGUAGUAAAGCUUCAUUAUAAAUGUGAACAUAGAUGCAAUGGCAGAGAGCAAAAUCUUUUCUCAUCCCCGGUUCUAAUCAUGUUACUUUAACAGACAAAAUCCAGGAAGUGAAAGAGCAGCCUCUACUGUUUGGAUGGAACCAGUUUGAUGCUGUGGGAUCAGGGUUAUAGACCGGGGGAGUAUCAAGGACUUAUAUGUCCUUAUACACUUCUGGAUUUGAUUUACACCUGGCUGUACAAGUAUGGUGAUCUGAGAAGUAUGAGCAUACUUCAUGAAGCCUGAAGCAGCUAUAC
Long non-coding RNA from Strongylocentrotus purpuratus (purple sea urchin), 729 nucleotides. RefSeq lists it as uncharacterized. The transcript has 4 exons. The record is from RefSeq and is a predicted model, not a curated record. NCBI's taxonomy places the organism in Eukaryota, Metazoa, Echinodermata, Echinoidea, Camarodonta, Strongylocentrotidae.